RNAcentral lists this ribosomal RNA (283 nucleotides) under uncultured bacterium. RNAcentral's name for it is "partial 16S ribosomal RNA". It matches the Rfam family "Bacterial small subunit ribosomal RNA", at positions 123 to 406 of the family's 1533-position model. The record is from RNAcentral.
AACCUGCCUGAAUCUGGGGGAUAGCCCGCCGAAAGGCGGAUUAAUACCGCAUAAAACUGCAGCGUGGCAUCACGUAACAGUUAAAGAUUUAUUGGAUUCAGAUGGGGUUGCGUGCCAUUAGCUAGUUGGGGAGGUAACGGCUCACCAAGGCGACGAUGGCUAGGGGAGCUGAGAGGCUGGUCCCCCACACGGGCACUGAGAUACGGGCCCGACUCCUACGGGAGGCAGCAGUAGGGAAUAUUGGGCAAUGGGCGAGAGCCUGACCCAGCCAUGCCGCGUGCAG